AUGCUCACUUCAGCAGCAUAUACACUAAAACUGGAAUGAUACAAAAGAGAUUAGCAUGGCCCCUGUGUGAUAUACCAGAAUUCAUGAAGUGCUCUGCAUUUUU
Molecule: small nuclear RNA, 103 nt
Organism: Acomys russatus (golden spiny mouse)
Lineage: Eukaryota; Metazoa; Chordata; Mammalia; Rodentia; Muridae
Source: RefSeq, a predicted model, not a curated record